This 497-nucleotide ribosomal RNA is filed under the name uncultured bacterium. RNAcentral describes it as "partial 16S ribosomal RNA". It matches the Rfam family "Bacterial small subunit ribosomal RNA", at positions 28 to 507 of the family's 1533-position model. The record is from RNAcentral.
GAUGAACGCUGGCGGCGUGCCUAAUACAUGCAAGUCGAGCGAACAGACGAGGAGCUUGCUCCUCUGACGUUAGCGGCGGACGGGUGAGUAACACGUGGAUAACCUACCUAUAAGACUGGGAUAACUUCGGGAAACCGGAGCUAAUACCGGAUAAUAUAUUGAACCGCAUGGUUCAAUAGUGAAAGACGGUUUUGCUGUCACUUAUAGAUGGAUCCGCGCCGCAUUAGCUAGUUGGUAAGGUAACGGCUUACCAAGGCAACGAUGCGUAGCCGACCUGAGAGGGUGAUAGGCCACACUGGAACUGAGACACGGUCCAGACGCCUACGGGAGGCAGCAGUAGGGAAUCUUCCGCAAUGGGCGAAAGCUUGACGGAGCAACGCCGCGUGAGUGAUGAAGGUCUUCGGAUCGUAAAACUCUGUUAUUAGGGAAGAACAAAUGUGUAAGUAACUAUGCACGUCUUGACGGUACCUAAUCAGAAAGCCACGGCUAACUACGUG